AUUGGGAAGAGGAAGAAUAGAUAGAGGGUCUGAGAGUGGUGGACAUGGGAACAUGAAGGAAAGCCCAAACUCUUCUGUUCCUCUUAAACUAGGGGUUAAGAUUUGGGUGACAUGUUUUCCUAAUGCCUCCCAUGCCUAUUGUUCUUAGAUGCUCCUUCCUCUUCCUUUUGGUU
RNAcentral lists this microRNA precursor (173 nucleotides) under Leersia perrieri. Its description in RNAcentral is "pre miRNA MIR2118". It matches the Rfam family "MIR2118 microRNA precursor family". The record is from Rfam by way of RNAcentral. Lineage: Eukaryota; Viridiplantae; Streptophyta; Magnoliopsida; Poales; Poaceae.